Molecule: ribosomal RNA, 497 nt
Filed under: uncultured bacterium
Lineage: Bacteria
Description: partial 16S ribosomal RNA
Rfam family: Bacterial small subunit ribosomal RNA
Source: RNAcentral
GAUGAACGCUGGCGGCGUGCCUAAUACAUGCAAGUCGAGCGAACAGACGAGGAGCUUGCUCCUCUGACGUUAGCGGCGGACGGGUGAGUAACACGUGGAUAACCUACCUAUAAGACUGGGAUAACUUCGGGAAACCGGAGCUAAUACCGGAUAAUAUAUUGAACCGCAUGGUUCAAUAGUGAAAGACGGUUUUGCUGUCACUUAUAGAUGGAUCCGCGCCGCAUUAGCUAGUUGGUAAGGUAACGGCUUACCAAGGCAACGAUGCGUAGCCGACCUGAGAGGUUGAGCGGCCGCACUGGAUCUGAGACACGGUCCAGACUCCUACGGGAGGCAGCAGUAGGGAAUCUUCCGCAAUGGGCUAAAGCCUGACGGAGCAACGCCGCGUGAGUGAUGAGGGUCUUCGGAUCGUGAAACUCUGUUAUUAGGGAAGAACAAAUGUGUAAGUAACUAUGCACGUCUUUACGGUACCUAAUCAGAGAGCCACGGCUAACUACGUG